This 464-nucleotide ribosomal RNA is filed under the name uncultured bacterium. Its description in RNAcentral is "partial 16S ribosomal RNA". It matches the Rfam family "Bacterial small subunit ribosomal RNA", at positions 339 to 795 of the family's 1533-position model. The record is from RNAcentral.
CUACGGGUUGCAGCAGUGGGGAAUAUUGCACAAUGGGCGCAAGCCUGAUGCAGCCAUGCCGCGUGUAUGAAGAAGGCCUUCGGGUUGUAAAGUACUUUCAGCGGGGAGGAAGGGAGUAAAGUUAAUACCUUUGCUCAUUGACGUUACCCGCAGAAGAAGCACCGGCUAACUCCGUGCCAGCAGCCGCGGUAAUACGGAGGGUGCAAGCGAUAAUCGGAAUUACUGGGCGUAAAGCGCACGCAGGCGGUUUGUUAAGUCAGAUGUGAAAUCCCCGGGCUCAACCUGGGAACUGCAUCUGAUACUGGCAAGCUUGAGUCUCGUAGAGGGGGGUAGGAUUCCAGGUGUAGCGGUGAAAUGCGUAGAGAUCUGGAGGAAUACCGGUGGCGAAGGCGGCCCCCUGGACGAAGACUGACGCUCAGGCGCGAAAGCGUGGGGAGCAAACAGGAUUAGAUACCCCUGUAGUC